AAGUUUUCGGAUGGAUCUGAUUUAACUUAGUGGCGGACGGGUGAGUAAUGCGUGAGCAACCUGCCCUUCAGAGGGGGACAACAGUUGGAAACGACUGCUAAUACCGCAUAAGCGCACAGCUUCGCAUGAAGCAGUGUGAAAAACUCCGGUGGUACAAGAUGGACCCGCGUCUGAUUAGCCAGUUGGCGGGGUAACGGCCCACCAAAGCGACGAUCAGUAGCCGGCCUGAGAGGGUGACCGGCCACAUUGGGACUGAGACACGGCCCAAACUCC
Molecule: ribosomal RNA, 273 nt
Filed under: uncultured Lachnospiraceae bacterium
Lineage: Bacteria; Bacillati; Bacillota; Clostridia; Lachnospirales; Lachnospiraceae
Description: partial 16S ribosomal RNA
Rfam family: Bacterial small subunit ribosomal RNA
Source: RNAcentral